GGGCCUGGCUGUGGCUACACAUGCAAGUCGAACGGCAGCACAGAGGAGCUUGCUCCUUGGGUGGCGAGUGGCGGACGGGUGAGGAAUACAUCGGAAUCUACUUUUUCGUGGGGGAUAACGUAGGGAAACUUACGCUAAUACCGCAUACGACCUACGGGUGAAAGCAGGGGACCUUCGGGCCUUGCGCGAUUGAAUGAGCCGAUGUCGGAUUAGCUAGUUGGCGGGGUAAAGGCCCACCAAGGCGACGAUCCGUAGCUGGUCUGAGAGGAUGAUCAGCCACACUGGAACUGAGACACGGUCCAGACUCCUACGGGAGGCAGCAGUGGGGAAUAUUGGACAAUGGGCGCAAGCCUGAUCCAGCCAUACCGCGUGGGUGAAGAAGGCCUUCGGGUUGUAAAGCCCUUUUGUUGGGAAAGAAAUCCAGCCGGCUAAUACCUGGUUGGGAUGACGGUACCCAAAGAAUAAGCACCGGCUAACUUCGUGCCAGCAGCCGCGGUAAUACGAAGGGUGCAAGCGUUACUCGGAAUUACUGGGCGUAAAGCGUGCGUAGGUGGUUGUUUAAGUCUGUUGUGAAAGCCCUGGGCUCAACCUGGGAACUGCAGUGGAAACUGGACAACUAGAGUGUGGUAGAGGGUAGCGGAAUUCCCGGUGUAGCAGUGAAAUGCGUAGAGAUCGGGAGGAAACAUCCAUGGCGAAAGGCCGCUACCUUGGACCAACACUGACACUGAGGCACGAAAGCGUGGGGAGCAAACAGGAAUU
RNAcentral lists this ribosomal RNA (759 nucleotides) under Stenotrophomonas geniculata. RNAcentral's name for it is "bacterial SSU rRNA". It matches the Rfam family "Bacterial small subunit ribosomal RNA", at positions 31 to 780 of the family's 1533-position model. Lineage: Bacteria; Pseudomonadati; Pseudomonadota; Gammaproteobacteria; Lysobacterales; Lysobacteraceae. The record is from RNAcentral.